AUUGAACGCUGGCGGCAGGCCUAACACAUGCACGUCGAACUAGUGGCUGACGGGUGAGUAAUUUCUGGGAAACUGCCUGAUGGAGGGGGUUAACUACUGGAAACGGUAGCUAAUACCGCAUACCAUCAUAUGUCCCCCGCUGGGAUUAGCUAGUUGGUGGGGUAACGGGUCCCCAAGGCGACGAUCCCUAGCUGGUCUGAGAGGAUGACGUGCCACACUGGAACUGAGACACGGUCCAGACGCCUACGGGAGGCAGCAGUGGGGAAGAGGGCACAAUGGGCGCAAGCCUGAUGCAGCCCUGCGGCGUGUAUGAAGAAGGCCUUCGGGUUGUAAAGUACUUUCAGCGGGGAGGCGGUACCCGCAGAAGAAGCACCGGCUAACUCCGGGCCAGCCGCCGCGGUAAUUC
RNAcentral lists this ribosomal RNA (406 nucleotides) under uncultured bacterium. RNAcentral's name for it is "partial 16S ribosomal RNA". It matches the Rfam family "Bacterial small subunit ribosomal RNA", at positions 30 to 526 of the family's 1533-position model. The record is from RNAcentral.